Molecule: ribosomal RNA, 465 nt
Filed under: uncultured bacterium
Lineage: Bacteria
Description: partial 16S ribosomal RNA
Rfam family: Bacterial small subunit ribosomal RNA
Source: RNAcentral
GACGAACGCUGGCGGCGUGCUUAACACAUGCAAGUCGUACGGUAAGGCCCUUUCGGGGGUACACGAGUGGCGAACGGGUGAGUAACACGUGAGUAACCUGCCCACAACUUUGGGAUAACGCUAGGAAACUGGUGCUAAUACUGGAUAUGUGCUCCUGCUGCAUGGUGGGGGUUGGAAAGCUCCGGCGGUUGUGGAUGGACUCGCGGCCUAUCAGCUUGUUGGUGGGGUAGUGGCCUACCAAGGCGGCGACGGGUAGCCGGCCUGAGAGGGUGACCGGCCACAUUGGGACUGACAUAAGGCACAGACACCGACGGGAGGCAGCAGUGGGGAAUCUUGCACAAUGGGCGCAAGCCUGAUGCAGCAACGCCGCGGGCGGGAUGACUGUCUUCGGGUUGUAAAACGAUUUCAGCAGGGACGAAGCUUUUUGUGACGGUACCUGCAGAAGAAGCACCGGCUAACUACGUG